Mytilus californianus (California mussel) is the source of this 717-nucleotide long non-coding RNA. RefSeq lists it as uncharacterized. The record is from RefSeq and is a predicted model, not a curated record. The transcript is spliced from 3 exons. NCBI's taxonomy places the organism in Eukaryota, Metazoa, Mollusca, Bivalvia, Mytilida, Mytilidae.
CAGGUGUCAUCUGACCUUGACCUCAUUUUCAUGGUUCAGUGGUUAUAGUUAAGUUUUUGUGUUUUGGUCUGUUUUUCUUAUACUGUAUGCAAUAGGUCUACUAUAUUUGGUGUAUGGAAUGAUUGUAAGGUGUACAUGUCCAACUGGCAGGUGUCAUCUGACUUUGACCUCAUUUUCAUGGUUCAGUGGUCAAAGUUAAGUUUUUGAGUUUUUGUCUUUUUUCUUAUACUAUAUGCAAUAAGUCUACUAUAUUUGGUGUAUGGAAAUAUUCUAUGAUGUACAUGUCAGUCUCGCAGGUUUUAUUUAACCUUGACCUCAUUUUCACGGUUCAUUGCUCAGUGUUAAGUUUAUGUGUUUCAGUCUGUUUUUCUUAAACUAUAAGCAAUAGGUCAGCUAUAUUUGGUGCAUGGAAGGAUUGUAAGCUGUUCAUGUCUGCCUGGCAUGGUUCAUCUGACCUUGACCUCAUUUUCACGAUUCAUUGGUCAAUGUUUAGUUUUCUUGGUUAAGUCUGUUUCUUAGAAACUAUAAGCAAUAGGUCAACUAUAUUUAGUGUAUGGAAUGAUUGUAAGGUGUACAUGUCUGUCUGGCAGUUAUCAUCUGACCUUGACCUCAUUUUCAUGGUUCAUUGGCCAAUGUUAAGUUUUUGUUUUUUGGUCUGUCUUACAAGUACUUUAAGCAAUAGGUCAACUAUAUUUGGUGUAUGGAAUGGUUGUAAGG